Biomphalaria glabrata is the source of this 569-nucleotide long non-coding RNA. RefSeq lists it as uncharacterized. The transcript has 3 exons. The record is from RefSeq and is a predicted model, not a curated record. Lineage: Eukaryota; Metazoa; Mollusca; Gastropoda; Planorbidae.
UUGCCAGGUAGGUUGUGUCCACUGUGUAGACAGGUUAUGUCCCAUUGCCAGGUAGGUUGUGUCCCCCGUAUAGGCAGGUUAUGUCCCAUUGCCAGGUAGGUUGUGUCCCCCGUGUAGACAGGUUAUGUCCCAUUGCCAGGUAGGUUGUGUCCACUGUGUAGACAGGUUAUGUCCCAUAGCCAGGUAGGUUGUGUCCCCCGUGUAGACAGGUUAUGUCCCAUUGCCAGGUAGGUUGUGUCCCCCGUGUAGACAGGUUAUGUCCCAUUGCCAGGUAGGUUGUGUCCACUGUGUAGACAGGUUAUGUCCCAUAGCCAGGUAGGUUGUGUCCCCCGUGUAGACAGGUUAUGUCCCAUUGCCAGGUAGGUUGUGUCCACUGUGUAGACAGGUUAUGUCCCAUAGCCAGGUAGGUUGUGUCCCCCGUGUAGACAGGUUAUGUCCCAUUGCCAGGUAGGUUGUGUCCCCCGUGUAGACAGGUUAUGUCCCAUUGCCAGGUAGGUUGUGUCCCCCGUGUAGACAGGUUAUGUCCCAUUGGCAGGUAGGUUGUGUCCCCCAUGUAGACAGGUUAUGUC